RNAcentral lists this unclassified non-coding RNA (345 nucleotides) under soil metagenome. RNAcentral's name for it is "partial contains 5.8S ribosomal RNA, internal transcribed spacer 2, and large subunit ribosomal RNA". The stretch from base 1 to 120 matches the Rfam family "5.8S ribosomal RNA", at positions 35 to 154 of the family's 154-position model. The record is from RNAcentral.
GAUGAAGAACGCAGCGAAAUGCGAUACGUAAUGUGAAUUGCAGAAUUCAGUGAAUCAUCGAGUCUUUGAACGCACAUUGCGCCCCCUGGUAUUCCGGGGGGCAUGCCUGUCCGAGCGUCAUUGCUGCCCUCAAGCACGGCUUGUGUGUUGGGCCUCCGUCCUCCUCCCGGGGGACGGGCCCGAAAGGCAGCGGCGGCACCGCGUCCGGUCCUCGAGCGUAUGGGGCUUCGUCACCCGCUCUUGUAGGCCCGGCCGGCGCUUGCCGACACAUCAAUCUUUUUUCCAGGUUGACCUCGGAUCAGGUAGGGAUACCCGCUGAACUAAAGAAUAUCAAUAAGCGGAGGA